Molecule: ribosomal RNA, 527 nt
Filed under: uncultured bacterium
Lineage: Bacteria
Description: bacterial SSU rRNA
Rfam family: Bacterial small subunit ribosomal RNA
Source: RNAcentral
UACGUAGGGGGCGAGCGUUGUCCGGAAUGAUUGGGCGUAAAGGGCGCGCAGGCGGCCUGUCAAGUCAGUAGUGGAAGUCCAUUUUUCAAGGAUGGAAGUGCUAUAGAAACUGAUGGGCUUGAGUGCAGGAGAGGUUAUCGGAAUUCCCGGUGUAGCGGUGAAAUGCGUAGAGAUCGGGAGGAACACCAGUGGCGAAGGCGGGUAACUGGACUGCAACUGACGCUGAGGCGCGAAAGUGUGGGGAGCAAACAGGAUUAGAUACCCUGGUAGUCCACACUGUAAACGAUGAAUGCUAGGUGUAGGGGGUAUCGACCCCUUCUGUGCCGAAGUAAACACAAUAAGCAUUCCGCCUGGGGAGUACGGUCGCAAGAUUAAAACUCAAAGGAAUUGACGGGGGCCCGCACAAGCAGCGGAGCAUGUGGUUUAAUUCGAAGCAACGCGAAGAACCUUACCAGGUCUUGACAUCCAUCUAAAGCUGCGGAGACGCAGUGUGAGCAAGCUCGAGAUGAGACAGGUGGUGCAUGGUU